Molecule: long non-coding RNA, 1128 nt
Filed under: Androctonus crassicauda
Lineage: Eukaryota; Metazoa; Arthropoda; Arachnida; Scorpiones; Buthidae
Source: RNAcentral
CGAUGGGUAGGCUUGUUUUUAGCACAAAUUCUCUCAAAUCAGAGUGUCAUUGAAGAUAGUGCAAUUCUUUUUCAAUUACUAAACAUCAUUACCUUCUCUUUAAAAUAGUUACAGCACAAAGUUUUUGGAUACAUGGAUAUAUGUGCUGUAUUAUUAACCCUUUUGUUGAUUCAUUUUUUUUCAACACCAAUUUGAAUUUAUUUUUUGCUUCUUUAUGUCAAAAAUAAUGUUUUUGUUAAUUCUUGCAUAGUCCCCUUGCAAUACACUUGCACCACUUAGUGGGCUGUGCCCCAUAGUUUGAAGAACACUGGAUUAAAGGAAUAUUCUGAAUUCAUUAACUCCCAGCUACUGACUAAUGAGGCCAAUUACUAUUUGACAGGAUUCAUAAAUAAACAGAAUUUUAGAUACUGGGCACCAAAUAAUUCUCAAAAAGCACAUGAAAGACUGGGUAUAUAGUGAAAAAUUUUUUAUUUAAUGCAGUUUAAGGAUGAUGGGAGUAAUUGGUCCAUAUUUUUUUUGAAAUGGACAGUGGCCAAUCAAUCAUUGUGAAUAGGGAACACUACUCACAAAGUGAUUUUGUCAUUUCUUCUACUCUACACUGCAAAAAUGUCAGUACCAACUGGAAAAUCUUUGAUACUAGCAAGAUAGGGACAUGGCACACCCAUGCUAAUUUAGCAUAGAAACAUUGAGGGAAUUCUUCCCAAGUCACAUCAUUUUUGAUGACAUUCCUGGCACUCGAGAUCACCAGAUUUGACUCUCCUGGAUUCUUUUUCUGGAGCAAUUUAAAACAAAGUGUGUUUUCAACUAGAGUGAGAAGUGUUAAAGAACAGAAGGCUAAAAUCAUACAAGAAAUUGCAAAUUUCACUCAUGAGAUUAUUGUGAUUGAUCAUAUUAUGUGGUCUCCAAGACAAUCUGUGCAAUAUAUCACUAACAAUGAUAUGCACUUGAAGGACAUAAUUUUCACAAAUAAUAUAAAUCCAAAAGUGUAAGAAUGAUAAAAUAAAAUAGACUCCCGUACAAUGCAGAGAUAUGUUCUACAUUAUAGGAAAUCAUGUUAUAUGAGACAUACAUUAUCAGAUGAUUUUAUGUAAAUUUAAACUUGUCUGUGAGUUCCAGCACUGAUCACAU